ACGAAGCCAGGGCUGUUAUCACCUCUCCUUAGCCCUUUAAGUGCAGCAGGCUCUUUGGUGUCUCUCGCUGAAUGCCGCUUUGUUAAUUGCGACGGUAAACAGGACACAGCGCUGACCAUCGCCGUGUUUUGCUCAGGCGGCACUUACCACAAAACCGCUGGAUUUAGGAAAGGAGCCUGAGUCCAGGGGGAGUCACACACGAAGGAGGGUUCGUAGAAGUACUCAGCAUUUCCUGGACUUGCUUCUAUCAUUUAAAAUGUAUUGCAUACCUUGAAGUGAAUGUAAUGGCUGGCUUAAUUGGAGAUAACUUCACUGAAGUGGCCGUAGUUACCAUUUAUGUCAGCAGUGAAUGUGCCCUUUAAUGCUGUGCCCCUCAGAACUUCUGCAAGAGAGGAAUUGGAGUCCUGGCAGAGUGACCAGAAGUGUGACACUCAGGAGAGGAAAAGUGUUUGCUACAAUGCAGUUGCAAUUUGAGAUCAGCAUUCUGAGUGGAGUUAGUUCCAGCUGCUGAUACAAUGCUGACUGAAAACUCCAGUUUCAAUGAAGAGGCUUCUGUUGAUGCUUACAGAUGGCAAAAUGUCAUUUCCUCUCCUCUAUUUAAGAGAUCUCCCAUCUCUUUCUUAAGAUAUUUCCGGAUCCUGUCACAGCAUCUUUAGAGCCAUUUUCCAGCUGUUCUCAGACUUUCUCAUUUCUGGAAGCCUGCCCCUCCUUCAGCUCCAACCACAAAUGUCCACGCAAUAGAAAUCCAGUCAUUCUCCAAGAGGUCAGUCAAAGAAUAACUAAAGAUUACCCCAGAAUGUCUCUGUUAUUUUUUCACUCCCAUCUAAGGACCUUUAGAAUCACAAAGUCAGGCAUGAACUCAUUACGUCAAAGCAAGACACCAACUUUUUUGUGAACUUGCCCUGAUUGAAUUGCGUAUAAAUAUCUUUCCCAAAGUUGCUAAGGUCUUUAGCUCAGGCAUGUCCAAGCUGCAAAUCAGGAUGUCAAAAUACGCAAGAAAAUGUUAAUGUCACAACCCCCUCAAAAAUAAAGGAAUUAACAGGUUUUCUGUUCUCUUUAAAAUUUAGGCAACUUGCUUGAUGACAAUCAGCAGUCCAGUCACUUUCAGGUGUCACCAGCUAUCUCUUGCUGCUGCUUUACUAUAGAUUUGAAGUUCUAUCUCCUCUUUGCUCUUUUUUGGUUGAAAAAAAACUUCCCACCAUGGUGUCUAAAUACUUGGGAAAGCAUUUUCAAAAGACCCAAAAAUAUAUGCGGGAUGCUUCAGAUUUUGUUUAAAAAGAAAAAAAAAAGGAAUAAACCUUCAGAGUCCUGUUGAAUAUUUGUACAUCUGGAUAUAUUUGAUUCCUCAUGUCUUUAACCUCAAUACUAGUGCACUGAACUGCACUAGUUCUUACUGGAUCCUAAUUUCCAAUAACUUUUAGUAACUUAAUAUCCUAGUUCAUUUUUACAUAUUACAUAUUAAGCUUACCUUCAUGUUGACCACUAGAACAUGCUAUGUUGCUCAAAUAUGUACAUGUAGAAUGCUUGUGUGUGUACCACAAAUUAAAAAAAAUUGAUAAAAAAUUAAACUGCUAAACCCAAACUGCAUUCAAAUAAAUAACUUACUCUACUCCCUAGUCUACCCUAGUCCAUUUUUCUUUGGUUGCUUUUUUAUGGUAAGAAAUCUGCUUUUGCUGCAGGAUUUUUAAACAUUUUGCUACAGAAUUUAGCUAAUUAAUACAUAAUAUCAAAAAACCCUAAUGCAACCCAAACCAAAACCAAAAACCCCUAACUGGUUCCUGGAAGCAUUAAUGUGCACUUGUUACACACAAGAAUUUAGACUUGUCUGUUGCAGGGAGCAUUUUAGCUUGUACGUCUCACAUCUGGACUAUGCCUUUGAAGAAGCAGUCUACAUUUUCUUGUUUUCUAACUUAUGGUUCAAGUAGUUUUGAUUCUCAUCCAUGUAAAUAGUUUUUCUGAUUCUGUUCAGAGAGAUGACUAUUAUCCAUCUGAAAAGAAAAUAUUUCAUAAACUUCUAAGAUCAUCAUUAUAUGCUAUUGGAUAAAAUAGAGGGAUUGUCACAAGGGUUUAAAGCAAAUUAUUAUCAUUAUCAUUGUUAUAGAAAGAUAAAAACUAGAUAGAUUUCAUUAUGGAAGGCACAGAAAAUCAAUGCAUUUCUCCACUAUCAUGUUACUGAGAAGCAUACUAAAUGCAGCUUAUUAGGAAGUGUCAUUCCUAUCCCUAAACCAGAAAGACAAGAAUAGAACCAAAAGGGGAUACUGAUAAGAAGAAUUAUUUUCCUAUGCAAUUAGCAGUGUUAUUCCCUUUUGCAGGAUGACUUUGUAGCCAGGAGUUCAUGAAGAGUUUUUUCCCUAAGAGAUUUUUUGGCCAUAGAAAACAUCCUGUGUAGUUUGGGCUAAAAUAACAAGAGAUUCGCAGCUCUGUGACUGCUGAUCUUUAGCUCACUUCUGAAAAUAGCAUAGAUAUAAAAAUCCCUUUUCUUCUAGAUGUCUUAUUUACAGCAGCCUUUUUACAUCAAUAUUUUUUUCUCUUUCUUCUAAACAUGAAUACUGACCUCUAAAAGGAAAGUAUUUCUAAACUAGCUAAUCUAGUGGAGAGAUGUUCAACGUGACAAGCUCCUUACAAUAUGAUCAAUAUCUUAGCAUAGAAAAAGAGAAGAGUACAUAAGCAAAGUCUAGGAUAAAGAGUAAUAUUACUGGGAGGAUUACUAAAAUUAUAAUGAUAUUUAGAGGUUUCAUUUUGCUGCUUUUUGGGCUAAAAAUUAAUCUUUGUCCAAAGAGCUUGACAAAUGAUACUGGGGUGAUGAACAGACAAGCAGAUAUGUGAGCAAUUAUGGUUGCUUGCAGAAGGUGCUUUGAUUUUUUAUUUGCUGUGGCAGUGUUUUUCUUUGUUUCCAUGACAAUAAAAAAGAAGACUGUAUCUAAAAACUUGCUUUAAAUUUUUUUCAUUGUUUUUCCUUAACUUGUACUAAACAGGCAAUGAAGGAGAGUAAUGGUUAUUUUCCACAUGGAUAAUCCAGGAUUAGAAAA
Molecule: long non-coding RNA, 3029 nt
Organism: Onychostruthus taczanowskii (white-rumped snowfinch)
Lineage: Eukaryota; Metazoa; Chordata; Aves; Passeriformes; Passeridae
Exons: 4
Source: RefSeq, a predicted model, not a curated record